AUGGGAACGCGAAGAACCUUACCUAGACUUGACAUCUCCUGAAUAGUGUAGAGAUACAUGAAGCCCUUCGGGGCAGGAAGACAGGUGGUGCAUGGUUGUCGUCAGCUCGUGUCGUGAGAUGUUGGGUUAAGUCCCGCAACGAGCGCAACCCUCAUUACUAGUUGCUACCAUUAAGUUGAGCACUCUAGUGAGACUGCCCGGGUUAACCGGGAGGAAGGUGGGGAUGACGUCAAAUCAUCAUGCCCCUUAUGUCUAGGGCAACACACGUGCUACAAUGGUGAGUACAGAUAGAUGCGAUACCGCAAGGUGGAGCCAAACUCUAAAACUCAUCCCAGUUCGGAUUGUAGGCUGCAACUCGCCUACAUGAAGUUGGAGUUGCUAGUAAUCGCGAAUCAGAAUGUCGCGGUGAAUACGUUCCCGGGUCUUGUACACACCG
RNAcentral lists this ribosomal RNA (436 nucleotides) under uncultured bacterium. RNAcentral describes it as "bacterial SSU rRNA". It matches the Rfam family "Bacterial small subunit ribosomal RNA", at positions 954 to 1392 of the family's 1533-position model. The record is from RNAcentral.